Molecule: RNase P RNA, 377 nt
Filed under: Chloroflexota bacterium
Lineage: Bacteria; Bacillati; Chloroflexota
Description: RNase P RNA component class A
Rfam family: Bacterial RNase P class A
About the family: Ribonuclease P (RNase P) is a ubiquitous endoribonuclease, found in archaea, bacteria and eukarya as well as chloroplasts and mitochondria. Its best characterised activity is the generation of mature 5'-ends of tRNAs by cleaving the 5'-leader elements of precursor-tRNAs.
Source: RNAcentral
CGAGGUGGUCGGAUGGUCGCGCGGGACUGUCGGAGCGAUCCGACGUGUCUCGUGAGGAAAGUCCGAGCUCCUCAGCGCAGGGUGGCGGGUAACGCCCGUCCGUCGUGAGACGAGGACCAGUGCCACAGUGACGAUGCCGCCGACCGGCUUUCGGGUCGGCCGGCGGAGUGAAACGCGGCAAACUCCACCCGGAGCAAGGCCGAAUAGGAGGGCGCAACCCGUGCCGGGCAACCGGUUCGGGGGAGAGGUGCGCUGCCCAGCCCUCGGGUAGGCCGCAAGAGCCGUUGGGCAACCGGCGGCCACAGAUGGAUGGCCAUCCCCUAUGUGCGCUUCGGCGUGCGGAGGGACAGAACUCGGCUUACAGACCGCCUCGCUGA